RNAcentral lists this ribosomal RNA (801 nucleotides) under uncultured bacterium. RNAcentral describes it as "bacterial SSU rRNA". It matches the Rfam family "Bacterial small subunit ribosomal RNA", at positions 65 to 877 of the family's 1533-position model. The record is from RNAcentral.
UACGAAUGAAAUUUCGAUGGAUUUUGUAAAUGGAAAGCGGCGGACGGGUGAGUAACGCGUAGGUAACCUGCCCCAUACAGAGGGAUAGCCACUGGAAACGGUGAUUAAUACCUCAUAAAACUGAGAAUACACAUGUAUGCUCAGCCAAAGAUUUAUCGGUAUGGGAUGGACCUGCGUCUGAUUAGUUAGUUGGUGAGGUAACGGCUCACCAAGGCGACGAUCAGUAGCCGACCUGAGAGGGUGAUCGGCCACAUUGGAACUGAGACACGGUCCAAACUCCUACGGGAGGCAGCAGUGGGGAAUAUUGCACAAUGGGCGAAAGCCUGAUGCAGCAACGCCGCGUGAACGAAGAAGGCUCUUGGGUCGUAAAGUUCUGUUCUGAGGGAAGAAGAAAGUGACGGUACCUCAGGAGAAAGCCCCGUCUAACUACGUGCCAGCAGCCGCGGUAAUACGUAGGGGGCAAGCGUUGUCCGGAAUUAUUGGGCGUAAAGAGUACGUAGGCGGUCUGUUAAGCGCAAGGUGAAAGGCAUAGGCUCAACCAAUGUGAGCCUUGCGAACUGGCAGACUUGAGUGCAGGAGAGGAAAGCGGAAUUCCUAGUGUAGCGGUGAAAUGCGUAGAUAUUAGGAGGAACACCGGUGGCGAAGGCGGCUUUCUGGACUGAAACUGACGCUGAGGUACGAAAGCGUGGGGAGCAAACAGGAUUAGAUACCCUGGUAGUCCACGCUGUAAACGAUGAGCACUAGGUGUCGGGGUCGAAAGACUUCGGUGCCGCAGUUAACGCAAUAAGUGCUCCGCCUGGG